GUCUCCAUAGUUCAAGGGAAGAAUAAGGGACUCCUAAGCCCUAGAUGGUGGUUCGAUUCCACCUGGAGACACCA
This 74-nucleotide transfer RNA is filed under the name Patescibacteria group bacterium. Its description in RNAcentral is "tRNA-Arg". It matches the Rfam family "tRNA". From Rfam's summary of the family: Transfer RNA (tRNA) molecules are approximately 80 nucleotides in length. Their secondary structure includes four short double-helical elements and three loops (D, anti-codon, and T loops). Further hydrogen bonds mediate the characteristic L-shaped molecular structure. tRNAs have two regions of fundamental functional importance: the anti-codon, which is responsible for specific mRNA codon recognition, and the 3' end, to which the tRNAs corresponding amino acid is attached (by aminoacyl-tRNA synthetases). tRNAs cope with the degeneracy of the genetic code in two manners: having more than one tRNA (with a specific anti-codon) for a particular amino acid; and 'wobble' base-pairing, i.e. permitting non-standard base-pairing at the 3rd anti-codon position. The record is from RNAcentral.